GUUCCCUUAUCUUUUCCUUUCUUAUCUCUUUGCGUUGCCCGCCAUUAAAGAUCUCGUCCGAGCUCACGCCCCUUCCCUACUCUAUGUUUCUAUCUUCAGACCUUCCCCAUCUGCCGUGGGCUGCCACAAAACCGGCACACAGCACCGCGCACUGCUACAUCGAUGAACCCAAUGUGGCUGGUGCUACAAACCACGGUGGUCGAUGCUAAGAGAUGCCGCUACCACGGCGUGUGGAGCUGGAACCGGCGUGGCGAGGUGCUACAACCAAACACGUCCGUGCUGCAACCAGCACAUAGCAGCGCUGGGAUCGACGUGUCGCGGUGCUACAACCAGUGCACGGCGGCGACGAUGGCGCCCACGGGAUGGUGACGGUGCUUGAACCGGGCAGCGGGAUGCUGGAACCAUUGGUGGUUUUUGCUUCUACCGGCAUCAUUUUUUGCUGGAGCCUAGUGUAGAUUUUUUUGCUGGGACGGUGGUGUUUUUCCUACAAUUGAUUUUGAUUUUUGCUGGAACCAGCAUUUGGUUUUGCUGGAACUGGCUCAUGUGAUUGCUUCCACCAGCGAGGUGGUGCUCAUGCUGAUUUUUUUUGCUGCAUUCUUUCUUGUUUUUUUGCUGGAAAUAGUAUUUGUUUCUGCUGGAACUGGCCAGGGGAUUUCCUUUAACCGGUGAGAAGGUGCUGGGUGGCGACGAUGGUGACUGUGUUAGUAUUUUUGCUACAACAUUUGUGUUUUAUGCUGGAAACAACAAUUGAUUUUGCUGGUACCGGCCGAAGUAGAGACUAUUGUUGCAACUGUCCAGCGGGGCAAGCGGCCCCCUUGUGCUACGCCUGCGAGCCGGCGAGCGGCGGGUUGGGGGCGAUACGGUGGAUCUAAAGCGAGGUGGAUCUGAAGUGAGGAAGAAGAAGGGGACGCGCGUGGGAUAGCUCAAUGAAUCGUGUGGUCCUGGGGAUGCUAAUCGUGCAGCUGCGCGGAGUCCGGCCGAACAGUUGGGCCGGCACGCCGGCGCCUAACAGCGCCCAACAAAUUUUCCGUGGACCCUUCCCAUUACUAUCGCCGAAAAGCCCCACCCAACCACUGCUCCUGAGCUCUCUCUCUCUCCCAUUUCUCUCUCAUGGUGUGCGACGCUCUCUCGUGCUUUCCGACGACGGACGGAUGACUAACGUUGCUAAGCAAUUCUUGGUGCAGAUCCUCUGGGCGAGCGUUCGCCACCAAGGACGCACACUGCUAGCCGCGGCCUCAAAAACGGGGCCGCCACAUUCAAUCUCGGCUCUGUCACCACCCCAAUGCUCUGCUCUACUUCAGUCUACCAGCACUACCACGAGCUGACUGCAGCAAGGUUCUCGUGUCUCUCAAGCGGGACUCGGUUCUGCCCCCGGUUCCAUUAAAUUUCGCCCAAAUCCACAGGAAGCAGUCAACACGGAUGGGUCGAAACUCAAGAUCCAGUGGCAGGGAGACCGUCGUCCAUGUCGCCAGCUCCGAUCAGGUGCUAGCUUUGCAUGUAUCAAAUUUUGCUCCUUUAAUUUCUUUGAAGCGGGUGCGGUGCGGCCUUGCGGGAGCAACCGACCUGCCGGCCAGCGGGUCAUCUCGUCGUCUCCGAUGUCUUCCGUGCCUGAUGUGCUCCCGUAAAGUGUAGGUCACCUGAAUUUCUUCUAAGCGGUUCUAUUGCCAGAUCCAUUUCCAUGGUGACGGACGUCGUUGGCCAUUAUGUGAACUAUUGUUGAACACUUUUUUCCCUGAAAUUCCUGCUCCUUGGCCACUAGCCAGAUGGUAUAACCGGAGCUGUUCCGGUGGUUGGAUUUGCCGGGUCAUGCAGAAACUCUAAUGAAAUUCUUUUUUCUCUUCAUGGGCAGUGCAUUUUGUUUCUAAUCAAAUUCUUUUUUCUCUCCA
Triticum dicoccoides is the source of this 1886-nucleotide long non-coding RNA. RefSeq lists it as uncharacterized. NCBI's taxonomy places the organism in Eukaryota, Viridiplantae, Streptophyta, Magnoliopsida, Poales, Poaceae. The record is from RefSeq and is a predicted model, not a curated record. The transcript has 2 exons.